UGCCAGCAGCCGCGGUAAUACGGAGGGUGCAAGCGUUGUUCGGAAUUAUUGGGCGUAAAGCGGGUGUAGGCGGUUUUGCAAGUCGGGUGUGAAAUCCCUGGGCCCAACCCAGGAGCUGCACUCGAUACUGCAUCACUAGAGUCCCGGAGAGGAUGGCGGAAUUCCAGGUGUAGAGGUGAAAUUCGUAGAUAUCUGGAGGAACACCGAUGGCGAAGGCAUCUCUCUGGACCGAUACUGACGCUGAGGCGCGAAGGCGUGGGUAGCGAACAGGAUUAGAUAC
Molecule: ribosomal RNA, 280 nt
Filed under: uncultured bacterium
Lineage: Bacteria
Description: partial 16S ribosomal RNA
Rfam family: Bacterial small subunit ribosomal RNA
Source: RNAcentral